RNAcentral lists this ribosomal RNA (530 nucleotides) under Microstemmatoides atrocyanea. RNAcentral's name for it is "partial 16S ribosomal RNA". It matches the Rfam family "Bacterial large subunit ribosomal RNA", at positions 1809 to 2611 of the family's 2925-position model. The record is from RNAcentral. Lineage: Eukaryota; Metazoa; Arthropoda; Insecta; Hemiptera; Reduviidae.
AAAAACAUGUUCUUUAGUUUUAAAUUUAAGGUUUGACCUGCUCUAUGACUUUGGGUUAAAUGGCCGCAGUAUUCUAACUGUGCUAAGGUAGCAUAAUCAUUUGUCUUUUAAUUGGAGGAUUGAAUGAAAGGUUGGACGAGAAACAAACUUUCUUUUAUAUAGUUUAUGAAUUUAAUUUUUUAGUUAAAAAGCUAAAAUGUAUUUAAGGGACGAGAAGACCCUAUAGAUCUUUAUAUUUGUGAAAUAUUUUUUUUUGGUUAAUGAAAAGAUUUUAUUGAACCAAGUAUUUUAUUGGGGUGAUUCAAAAAUUAAUUUAACUUUUUGUUUAUUAUUUUCAUUAAUUUAUGUUUUAUUGAUCCAUUGUUAUGAUUAAAAGAUUAAGUUACCUUAGGGAUAACAGCGUAAUUUUUUUGGAGAGUUCUUAUCGAUAAAAAAGUUUGCGACCUCGAUGUUGGAUUAAAAUAAGUUUUUGGCGUAGCAGUUUUAAUACUAGGUCUGUUCGACCUUUAAUUUUUUACAUGAUCUGAGUU